CCUACGGGCGGCAGCAGUGAGGAAUACUGGUCAAUGGACGAGAGUCUGAACCAGCCAAGUAGCGUGAAGGAUGACUGCCCUAUGGGUUGUAAACUUCUUUUAUAUGGGAAUAAAAUGUUCCACGUGUGGGUUUUUGUAUGUACCUUAUGAAUAAGGAUCGGCUAACUCCGUGCCAGCAGCCGCGGUAAUACGGAGGAUCCGAGCGUUAUCCGGAUUUAUUGGGUUUAAAGGGAGCGUAGGUGGAUUGUUAAGUCAGUUGUGAAAGUUUGCGGCUCAACCGUAAAAUUGCAGUUGAUACUGGCAGUCUUGAGUACAGUAGAGGUGGGCGGAAUUCGUGGUGUAGCGGUGAAAUGCUUAGAUAUCACGAAGAACUCCGAUUGCGAAGGCAGCUCACUAAACUGCAACUGACACUGAGGCUCGAAAGUGUGGGUAUCAAACAGGAUUAGAUACCCUAGUAGUC
This 460-nucleotide ribosomal RNA is filed under the name uncultured bacterium. Its description in RNAcentral is "partial 16S ribosomal RNA". It matches the Rfam family "Bacterial small subunit ribosomal RNA", at positions 338 to 795 of the family's 1533-position model. The record is from RNAcentral.